Molecule: ribosomal RNA, 253 nt
Filed under: uncultured bacterium
Lineage: Bacteria
Description: partial 16S ribosomal RNA
Rfam family: Bacterial small subunit ribosomal RNA
Source: RNAcentral
UACGUAGGGUGCAAGCGUUAAUCGGAAUUACUGGGCGUAAAGCGUGCGCAGGCGGUUAUGCAAGACAGAUGUGAAAUCCCCGGGCUUAACCUGGGAACCGCAUUUGUGACUGCAUAGCUGGAGUACGGCAGAGGGGGAUGGAAUUCCGCGUGUAGCAGUGAAAUGCGUAGAUAUGCGGAGGAACACCGAUGGCGAAGGCAGUCCCCUGGGCCUGUACUGACGCUGAGGAGCGAAAGCGUGGGGAGCGAACAGG